UACAGAGGGUGCGAACGUUGCUCGGAAUUACUGGGCGUAAAGCGCGUGUAGGCGGAACGGCAAGUCAGAUGUGAAAUCCCCGGGCUCAACCCAGGAACUGCAUCUGAAACUGCCGAUCUUGAGUACUGGAGAGGGUGGCGGAAUUCCUGGUGUAGAGGUGAAAUUCGUAGAUAUCAGGAGGAACACCGGUGGCGAAGGCGGCCACCUGGACAGUUACUGACGCUGAGACGCGAAAGCGUGGGGAGCAAACAGGAUUAGAAACCCCAGUAGU
Molecule: ribosomal RNA, 271 nt
Filed under: uncultured bacterium
Lineage: Bacteria
Description: partial 16S ribosomal RNA
Rfam family: Bacterial small subunit ribosomal RNA
Source: RNAcentral